Molecule: ribosomal RNA, 403 nt
Filed under: uncultured prokaryote
Description: bacterial SSU rRNA
Rfam family: Bacterial small subunit ribosomal RNA
Source: RNAcentral
UGGGGAAUCUUGCACAAUGGGCGAAAGCCUGAUGCAGCGAUUCCGCGUGGAGGAUGACGCAUUACGGUGUGUAAACUCCUUUUUUGGUGGAAGACGAAUGACGGUACACCAAGAAUAAGGGACGGCUAACUACGUGCCAGCAGCCGCGGUAAUACGUAGGUCCCAAGCGUUAUCCGGAUUUACUGGGCGUAAAGUGUCCGUAGCCGGAUAUACAAGUCUGUUUUCAAAUAUCCUGGCUCAACCAGGAAAAGGGAAUAGAUACUGUAUAUCUAGAGAAUAUUGGAGGUUAGUGGAAUUUCCGGUGGAGCGGUGAAAUGCGUUGAUAUCGGAAAGAACGCCGAAAGCGAAAGCAGCUAACUAUGAUAUUUCUGACGGUGAUGGACGAAAGCUUGAGUAGCAAACG